This 253-nucleotide ribosomal RNA is filed under the name uncultured bacterium. RNAcentral's name for it is "partial 16S ribosomal RNA". It matches the Rfam family "Bacterial small subunit ribosomal RNA", at positions 524 to 776 of the family's 1533-position model. The record is from RNAcentral.
UACAGAGGGUGCGAGCGUUACUCGGAAUUACUGGGCGUAAAGCGCGCGUAGGCGGCUUUUCAAGUCGAUUGUGAAAUCCCCGGGCUCAACCUGGGAACUGCAGUCGAGACUGUCUAGCUAGAGUAUGGGAGAGGGAAGUGGAAUUUCAGGUGUAGCGGUGAAAUGCGUAGAUAUCUGAAGGAACAUCAGUGGCGAAAGCGACUUCCUGGACCAAUACUGACGCUCAUGUGCGAAAGCGUGGGGAGCAAACAGG